ACCAGGAUGGCCGAGUGGUUAAGGCGUUGGACUUAAGUUCAAUUGUACGAAUGUACGCGUGGGUUCGGACCCCACUCCUGGUA
RNAcentral lists this transfer RNA (83 nucleotides) under Nematostella vectensis (starlet sea anemone). It matches the Rfam family "tRNA". Rfam says of the family: Transfer RNA (tRNA) molecules are approximately 80 nucleotides in length. Lineage: Eukaryota; Metazoa; Cnidaria; Anthozoa; Actiniaria; Edwardsiidae. The record is from Rfam by way of RNAcentral.